AACGUAGGAUCCGAGCGUUAUCCGAAUUUACUGGGCGUAAAGCGCGUGCAGGCUGUUCGAUAAAUUGGAUGUGAAAUCUCCUGGCUCAACUGGAAGAGGUCGUUCAAUACUGUCGGGCUAGAGGAUGGUAGAGGGAGGUGGAAUUCCCGGUGUAGUGUUGAAAUGCGUACAUAUCGGGAGGAACACCAGGGGCGAAGGCGGCCUCCUGGUCCAUUCCUGACGCUAAGACGCGAAAGCUAGGGGAGCGAACGGGAUUAGAAACCCCGGUAGUCCUAGCAGUAAACGAUGUGGACUUGGCGUUGGUGGGGUAAAAUCCAUCAGUGCCGUAGCUAACGCGGUAAGUCCACCGCCUGGGGAUUACGACCGCAAGGUUAAAACUCAAAGGAAUUGACGGGGCCCCGCACAAGCAGCGGAGCGUGUGGUUUAAUUCGAUGCUACGCGAAGAACCUUACCCGGGUUUGACAUACUGGUGGUAGGGAUCCGAAAGGUGACCGACCCUUCGGGGAGCCAGUACAGGUGCUGCAUGGCUGUCGUCAGCUCGUGUCGUGAGAUGUCCGGUUAAGUCCGGUAACGAGCGCAACCCUUGCCGUAUGUUAUAUGUGUCAUACGGGACUGUUGGUAUAAAGCCGGAGGAAGGUGGGGAUGACGUCAAGUCAGCAUGGCCUUUAUAUCCGGGGCUACACACACGCUACAAUGGCCGGUACAGUAGGUUGCAAAACCGCGAGGUGGAGCCAAUCCAUAAAGCCGGUUUCAGUUCAGAUUGCAGGCUGCAACUCGCCUACAUGAAGUCGGAGUUGCUAGUAACCGCAGGACAGCUAUACUGCGGUGAAUUCGUUGCCGGGGCU
This 845-nucleotide ribosomal RNA is filed under the name uncultured bacterium. RNAcentral describes it as "SSU rRNA". It matches the Rfam family "Bacterial small subunit ribosomal RNA", at positions 524 to 1381 of the family's 1533-position model. The record is from RNAcentral.